UUUGCAGAUGUUCUGUUCUGCCGUACAUGCAGAUGAAUGUCUCCAGUACCUGGAGGUCUGUGUUUAUCUGCCGGUUAAACUCCCGUUGGAUGACUUGCUUCAGAAGGGUUGAAAAUCGGCAACUUUCCCUCUUUAGCGUUUAGCUUAGCGCGGUGCCAUAGCAA
This is a long non-coding RNA of Sander lucioperca (pikeperch), 164 nucleotides long. RefSeq lists it as uncharacterized. NCBI's taxonomy places the organism in Eukaryota, Metazoa, Chordata, Actinopteri, Perciformes, Percidae. The record is from RefSeq and is a predicted model, not a curated record. The transcript is spliced from 2 exons.